CCUACGGGUGGCAGCAGUGAGGAAUAUUGGUCAAUGGCCGAGAGGCUGACCCAGCCAAGUCGCGUGAGGGAAGACGGCCCUACGGGUUGUAAACCUCUUUUGUAGGGGAGAAAAGCGAACCACGUGAGGAUCAUUGAGAGUACCCGAAGUAAAAGCAUCGGCUAACCCAGUGACAGGAGACGCGGUAAUACGGAGGAUGCGAGCGUUAUCCGGAUUUAUUGGUGUAAAGGGGUGCGCAGGCGGAGUUGCAAGUCAGGGGUCAAGUCGCGGGGCUCAACCCAGUACUGCCGUUGAAACUGUAUCCCUUGAGUGCGCGAGAGGUAUGCGGAAUGCGUGGUGUAGCGGUGAAAUGCAUAGAUAUCACGCAGAACACCAGUUGCGAAGGCAGCAUACCGGCGUGCAACUGACGCUCAUGCACGAAAGCGUGGGUAUCGAACAGGAUUAGAUACCCCUGUAGUC
This 459-nucleotide ribosomal RNA is filed under the name uncultured bacterium. RNAcentral describes it as "partial 16S ribosomal RNA". It matches the Rfam family "Bacterial small subunit ribosomal RNA", at positions 338 to 795 of the family's 1533-position model. The record is from RNAcentral.